AUGAAGGUCUUGGGCACACUGUAGGAGUGCGAGGUGGUAGGGUACUGCCUGGCCACCCCCAAGUGCCACACACCCCCGCUGUGCAUCUUCACCCCCAACUGUGUGGUCACCAAGUCCCAUCUCUGGGACUUUGUAUCCCAGCUGAAGAUGAAGAAGUCCUCAGGGGAGAUCGUCUACUGUGGGCACGUGUUCAAGAAGUCCCCCCUGCGAGUAAAGAAUUUUGGCAUCUGGCUGCUCUAUGACUCACGCAGCGACACCCACAACAGGUACCGCGAGUAUAACCACCACAGGCGCCGUCACCCAGCGCUACCGAGACGUGGUCACCUGACAUCGUGCCCAUGCCCACUCCAUCCAGGUCAUGAAGGUAGAGGAGACUGCAGCCAGCAAAUGCUGCCGGCCGGCGGUCAAGCAGUUCCACAACUCCAAGACCAAGUUUCCGCUGCCCCACUGUGUCCUGCGUCGCCAGCACAAGCCACAUUUCACCACCAAGAGGCCCAACACCUCCUUCCAGGUCCCACUCCACAUACCACGUGCGGCCCCGGGAGAUACCCGGAUGAUGCCACUUCCAAUGCACAUGCAAUGCAGGACAGCACCAGACACUGAGAACCAGCCACAUCACCAGCGCAAACCAGGGGUGCCCAGCGUCACCUCUGACUCCGUCAAGGCCUGGGAGAAGCUUCUGGGGGUACCCGACCGCCUCACAGGAAGUCGGACAUAG
RNA transcript from Carlito syrichta (Philippine tarsier), 718 nucleotides. It is a transcript of the gene named 60S ribosomal protein L18a pseudogene, with no coding region annotated. The transcript is spliced from 2 exons. The record is from RefSeq and is a predicted model, not a curated record. Lineage: Eukaryota; Metazoa; Chordata; Mammalia; Primates; Tarsiidae.